Lagopus leucura (white-tailed ptarmigan) is the source of this 632-nucleotide long non-coding RNA. RefSeq lists it as uncharacterized. The transcript has 3 exons. The record is from RefSeq and is a predicted model, not a curated record. Lineage: Eukaryota; Metazoa; Chordata; Aves; Galliformes; Phasianidae.
AGUAAAGAAGAGAUUGAUUGGAACAACUGAAACAGUGAAGAAAUGAGAAGAGAGCAUGGAAGAGUGGCAGAGGCCUCCGAGGCCAGGAAGAAGGAGGCUCAUGAAGCUGUAAUUUGCAGCCUGUGUGGAACCAUCUGCCAGGGACUCUUAAGAGCUGAUUGCCUACAAACACACCUUUCUGCAGACAAACUUCUCUCUCAGCUGUGAAAAAGUCAUCUCCACCUACUGACGUUUCUGUCUGUCUGCUCUUCAAAGACCUUUGAAGGAAUUACUCAAAAGUGGCAUCUUGCUCUAUUUCCCAGUGGAAAUGUGAAUCCUAGAAACACUGAGAAGGUAUUUCUAAGCUUAGAACUAUAGAUCAAAUCAUCCUGUAUUCAGUUUUUGUUUGGGUUGGGGAAGGAGAGAGAGAAAUGUAUAUUUUGCUUUUUAGGAUUUCUCAGUCAUUCUGUAGAUUCACAGUUCCUUAAAACAAGACUUACAUCAGAAGGCCUGCCAUCAGGAAGUCUACAAUCAGAAUGUCUACUAAAAAUUUUACCUUUAAUUACACUUAGAGUGAGUUGUUAAUUUGACUCUGGCCUUUCUCAGUUCUAAACUGUUGUGUCUGUUCACUUCUUAUCAUCGUGUUUUCUAUG